GACGAACGCUGGCGGUGUGCUUAACACAUGCAAGUCGAACGGUAAGGCCCUUUCGGGGGUACACGAGUGGCGAACGGGUGAGUAACACGUGAGUAACCUGCCCUCAUCUCUGGGAUAACAGUCGGAAACGGUUGCUAAUACUGGAUAUGAGCUUGCAAGGAAUCUUGUGGGUUGGAAAGAUUUUUUUGGUUGGGGAUGGACUCGCGGCCUAUCAGCUUGUUGGUGAGGUAGUGGCUCACCAAGGCUUCGACGGGUAGCCGGCCUGAGAGGGCGACCGGCCACAUUGGGACUGAGAUACGGCCCAAACUCCUACGGGAGGCAGCAGUGGGGAAUAUUGCACAAUGGACGGAAGUCUGAUGCAGCAACGCCGCGUGCGGGAUGACGGCCUUCGGGUUGUAAACCGCUUUCAAUUGUGACGAAGCUUUUUGUGACGGUAGCAGUAGAAGAAGCACCGGCUAACUACGUG
This 466-nucleotide ribosomal RNA is filed under the name uncultured bacterium. RNAcentral's name for it is "partial 16S ribosomal RNA". It matches the Rfam family "Bacterial small subunit ribosomal RNA", at positions 28 to 507 of the family's 1533-position model. The record is from RNAcentral.